Molecule: long non-coding RNA, 6003 nt
Organism: Alligator mississippiensis (American alligator)
Lineage: Eukaryota; Metazoa; Chordata; Crocodylia; Alligatoridae
Exons: 7
Source: RefSeq, a predicted model, not a curated record
UUGGGAUUUAGAAAGAAGGGGGAAAGCCAUUCCAUAUUCUCCCCUCCUGCCCACCCCCUGUAGAUACCACAUUCACAUCCUAGGAUUCAUGUGUCUGCCUGCUUAUCCGUGAUCCAUCUUGGAUUGAUUGCUCCUGCACUGAAGGCUUUUCAACACACUCACACUUUCUCAUUUCAGUACUUGCGUCUGCUCUGCUCAGUGAGGCCUCUUUGGGACACUUUGCAUGAAAGAUGCCAUUUCCACUAGAUGGAGCUCUGGGUUUGUGAACUGGUAAAGACUGGGUUGACCAGCAAUCUUCAAAUGCACUUGCCUUGUUUCCUUGGCCAUUGAGUUGAAGAGAAACACAGCUUCUAAACUGCAGCCACCAGCGGUUCUGCUCCCCUGACCAGCAAGUCCCCCCAGUGGUACUCAGGCCUGAGAUGCCUGGAAGAUGCAAGAGGAAACUGUCUUCAUUGUUUUUCAAUGACUGUCAACUAAUUCCAAUAGCCACAAGUGAAUGAUCGAUCACCAAAGGAUGUUGGAGUAGAGCAUUUCACCAGAGAUUAUUCGGGAUCAAACUUCCUACAUGUGGAUCAUCACCACCUUUGGAAAGAUACCAAGCAUGGAUACAUUUUUGACUGCAGGAGCAGAAAGUGAAUUUUGGAGACAGUCAACAGAAGAAUGAUGAGUGCCCUCUGCAGAGUCACAGCCCUGCUGUACUGAGAGCUGUACAGACACAAACUAAGAGAUAAUUCCUUCCUCACAGAUUUGGCCAUCUAGGUGAAGACCAGAUGCAGCAGAGUGGUCUUGAGCUGAGAUUAUCCAUGUGGGUCUGAGUCAGUUAAGCUUCCCCUUUUGAACAACUGCAUCCUUUGUUUACACUGCCCAGAUCUUCCACUGAGCAACCAGCCCUUCCCAGGAGCAGCUCUAACAUUGGUAGCACCUUUUAGGGAUUCAUGCAGUGAUUCAUAUCAACAGUUCAAGAGUCUGGUGCACCAUUAUUUACAGAAAACUACCCCUCUCUCUUCCGUUGUUUAUUUGCUUUGCAUCAACCUGUUAAAACAACAUGCUACAGAUCUUCUCAAGGGGAACAGGAAAGUGGAGAAAUGUUACACGCUGCCAGAAAUCUGACUUUCUACUUUGUCACAAGAUCCUCUGUUUGGGAAUCCAGGGUUGAAAGAAGUAGCUCAUUGGACACAGAAUGAUUCUCAUGUGACUCAUUCCUGUUCUGCAAGAUGCACAACAUCAAGCAACAACCCCAAAACAAACUUACAGGAACUGAAUGUGCUGGUCUUCGAGGAAAAGGGUCGAGUGGGCUCAGUUUCACUCCUUUUGGGGAAUUAAUCAGGCUAAGUGCCAACUGAAAAAUGCCUGCAGCUAAAGCCCUAUCUACAUUGGGCCAGGAACAAGAGGGAGCUGUAACUAGCCAGCCUCUGACUUGGUUGCAGUUUGGGUGGCCAAUGUAAAAGCCACAUUAAAAAGAGUGUUCUAGGAAGAAUAUUCAGUGGAGUAAAUCUGUAGCUGGCAUACUGCGGAUCUGGCUCCAUUUAAUUCUAUUCUACACAACUUCUCGUUGAGUCAUUGGCAUAUUAUCUGAAUUCCUUCAAGGGGUAUGGUGACCAACCCGGCUAAUAUUUGGUCACAUGUGGUUUCUUCUCUCUUUCAUCUGCUCCCCAGGGGGAAAAUUGUGUAUGCAGUAUAGUGCUUUCUUUUAGUAGUGUUUUCUCUAUUUGUGUUUUUUUUAGCUGGUUAGUUUGUUUAAACUGCAACUGAACAAGUAGCGGAGACAUUUUUUUCCCUGUGAAUAUCUGCUCAAUUUCAAAAGAAAAUUCUGAUCUAACCACAUUUGCAACCCUUUCACAUUCAGAGGAUAUCCAUCUGCUCGGAGGGUCUAGCAUGAAUACUUGAAUAUCUGAGAAGCCUGAAUUUCAAACAAUAUUUUGAUUGUUAACAUUUCUAUUCGUACUGCAUCAGCUGCAACUCAGUAAGUCAAAUUACACUGUUUCUGUUCGCUUGGUCACCAACUUAGCAAAAAUUUUCUGCUAUUUGAUUGUAAAAUUUACAGUUCAUGCUUUCUUCAUUGCAUAAAUAAUAUAUCCAAUCAGUACUGCGAAACACUAUCACGUGAUUUUUCAAAUUAGCUAGUACGGAAUGAACUAACAAUAUCUGCAACAAACCCUUGGCCAAGAUUUACUUCUUACGUGAAUCUGUGAAUAAUUUCAGUAAAACCGAACAUUUGAGAAUUUCACAAUCUGCCCAUGGACAAUUUGCAAGUAGAAAGAAUGACAAAAUUAAGCUAAUAAGAAAAUCAUUGGGAAACAUUUGUUCCUCCUUUAGCUAAACAGUACUUGGCCUCAUCCAAGCAUCUAACAGAAAUUUCUGAGACAGAAGAUAAGCUUUAACAAGCUGAGUCUUACAAAAAAUAAAUAAAUAAACCCUAUAAAAACCUGUACGAGGUCAGGAGAUGACUUCUGCCAAAUGUGAAAUUAAUAUAAACACAUAAGGAUUUUCCUUUUGUUUUUGUUUAAAAAAUUCUGGCCUGAACCCUGCUUAUUCAGAUAAAAUUUUCAUUAUGUUUCUAUAGUGCUUAUAAAGAGCUGCGAAGUGAGAGAACAUUCAUACCAUGCUAUUUCUCCUGCCCAGAGGUCCUUAAGAGCUCUCACUUUCUUUUCUACUUAGACUUCAUGCUUUAUGCCUUAAAAGGGAAAUAGCAAAAAUAAGGAGUCUAAAAGUUUCAUGCAUUUAAACAAGCAUCCAGGCUAAUCCCCACAAGACUGCUCUUUUUUGUUUUUCACUUAGGGUCUGUCAACAAAUUUGCCCUAAAUCAAUCAUGUUAAACAGCAGUUCUCUUAACACUGGGUCACUGGCGAAACCAUGUUAAAAUCUGGUUUUCCUAGAACAUUGCUUAUGGUGAGCUUAAAGAGUUUCCAGACUUGGUUCCUUUUCUAGUGUGAAAAAAGAGGAAUGAAAACCCACAAAAACAGUAAGGAUGUCUUCUGCACUACCGGCUUAAUUUCCAGACAGUUACAGAACAACUCAUUGGUGGGUGGUGCAGUUUAGUGGUAUGAUGGCAUCCAGACUGUCUCAGCCAAUCACCAGAUAGUUGGUUUUCAUUCAUAUACAUCCUGUAAUUCCACUGGUUAAGUAAACAGAACCCAAUACAUGGCACACGUAUACUGGUUAGCUGAAUUCAGACCACAUCAGCACUGAGAAAACUGCUGAUUUUGAAAGAGGAGGGAAAAAUAACAUAGCCGUUCCUUCCCCAACCUAGGCUUCCUCCUGACAAGACAGUGAUAAAAAUGGCUGGCCCAAUCUUUAACAUCAAUCGCAAAAGGUAUGGUCAAUGGCUUAACCAUGUUUUCUUAGAUGGCUGCUGACCACAACUGAUGGCAGCUGACCACAGUUUCUGCAUCAGCAAGACAACUAUUUUUCAACAGCAGCUUAAGGAGGAAGGGGGGUUGUUGGGUUUGAAAGAGCCUCAAACACAGUAGUUUUGUCUGCGUUGUGCAUACAUAAGCUAUGGUGUUUUGUGAGGCAGACAGCCAAAGUCCAAGUGCUUUCAAUUAUCCAGGCAAUGGGGUGGGAGAAAGAGGGAGGUGCAGGGAAUAUAUGCACAGCUGUUCUUCUUGAAACUGUUAAACAAAAUGAACUAGUAAAGGUCUAACACCUCCAAAUAUUGUAUUUUAUUAAAGAUUCGUACCUAAUAGAACGUGAUCCUCCUUUCCUGACAUUAAGAGAGCUUUUAUAAACCAAUAUAAGGCACUUACUAAUAUCUCUGUUACUCACAUUCUCUUCUUUUUCCUUAGAGCUAACCCAGUCUGUCUCAGUAUCUUGCUCUUCUGUAUUUUCCCUAUUUGUAAGUAACUUUGCUCUCAGCUCUUAGAACACUACAGGCAAAACCAAAGACAAACAGACUGUGCCCUGCUGCAGUUUGCAGUAUUCAUGAGAAAGCCACUGCCACCUAAAUUCUUCCUAUGGCUUGGCCCCAAAACAACAACCAAGACACACUGCUAGGUAGCUUGCUCCUUAGUAUUUGGCAACAGUGAUAUCUGUGCCUCAGGAGUCCAUUAGAGCUACCACCUAGCACCGUCUUCCAAGAAAAUUAGCUGCCUCAAAAACCAAGACACAUCCAGAAAGAACGUAACUUGGUAACCAUAACCUGCCACUGCUGAACACCACAGUACAGCCCAAACUUCAGAUUCUGGCUGCUGAGUGCAAGGUAUGGGAUCACUGAAAGCCCCAUCAUUCAUAACCCGAGGCCUGCAAUAUCAAAGCAAGGUUAAAUGACACUGGCAAGGGAAGCAUAUGCUACUGGUAGCACAGGGAGGAGGGAAGGGAAGACAGAGCUCUAGGCAGGACAAAGCUGGAAGGGAAAACUAGCUCAUAUUAGGAAUGAAGACCACCAGUCUGUACCUGCUACUUCCCAGAACAAAACAACUUACACCUAGGUCCAAAGCUGGAUAAUUUGCUAGCUUUUCAGACUGUAAGUCACACAAAGCUUUGACUUAGUAUUUCCUCCAUCUCUCCUUGCUUGCCAUCUCAAAGAGGUGAGAUAUUAGACACACCCUUGUCCUAUUUUCAGGCUGUCUCAUGAAGACACGCUAUUUUUCUAGAGACGAGAAAGGUACGAGCUGAACUUCCCCAACAUUUCAUUAUUAGUUUUAUUUAUAGGCAUUCCAUGGCGUUCAUGGCUCCAGUAUCUCAGCACCUGGCAAACAUUAAUGAAUGUAUCCUCAUAAGACCCUGUAAGGUAAGAAAGUUGAGAGGAUCAGUGACUUGUCCAAGGUCACACAGGAAGUUUGCAGCACAACCAAGAAUAGAAUUGAGACUUGAUUAGACAGAUUAUAUUAUAUGAGACUCUUCAAGGCUGGAGAGAUCAACAAGCAGAUACAGACAGACAGGUACUCAUUAGAUCCUAACAUUCCCAAAUUUGGGAAUGUUCAGUGUUGGUUCAGGCCUCCAAGCCCUGCAUUCACUCUUCCUGCCUCACUUAUGCUGAUUUAUGACAGUAUCUCCUAGCCAGGCUACUUGGAAGAGGGAAAACCUAGGGAAAAAAAAUCACAGUUCUGGUAAAAAUUCAAACAAAAGGACUAAUACUUUGCCAAGUAAUGCCAGUACAAAACCUGCUAGCCAGAAGUUCUGCCAGACAAUCUAAAGCUUCCUUUCAGAAUGCCCAUUUCUCAAAUUGCUGUGAAAAGAACGGGUGAUUUUAAGUGCUUUAAGAAAAUGCUAUUUUGUGCUGAUGCUGUCAGAACUGUGAAUAAACCAUUUUAUUAAAAAAAGAUUAUGGAACAGCUUGAUCUCAGGUUGAGAAGAAGGCAGUGUAGCAGCAACUCCGUGCAAUGCUGAUGGUUAGCAGCAGACAGAAUUAAUGUCAUUAUAUUAUGGUUGGCUUAGUCAAUUGCUCUGAUGUCACCACCCAGCAUCCUGCUGUUUCAUAAAAUGCCUUCAAAUCAGAUUGUUAUUUCAGAGGUAGCUAUGAAGUAGAGAAUUUUGGAAGUGCAAAAGUUUCCAGUGACUUUUAUAGACAAUUAAGCAAUAGCAGAAUACAAAUAGCACAAAUCAAAUUGCUGCAAAAUGUAUCGAUGAUUUUAAGUAGAAUUUUUAUGGUCGGGAAGCAUGAAAUUUAGUUUUCUGAUGACAUCACAGCUAUGGAAUAUGAUAAGAUCUAUGAUAAGAAUAUGAUCUUACAUUAGAUGCAGAUAGAAUUUUAUCUAUAGCCAUUAAGUAUAUAUAGCAGAUGGAUUUGACUUUCUUCUGAUUUACGCUGGUUUUAUAUGGGUGAAGUCAUUACUAAUUUGCAAUGGGAUGAGUAAACAAUUAGGCAUGUGCAUAGGUCUUUGUCUCUCAAUCUGUGUGUAGACAAAAAGAGUGUAAUUCUAAUCUUCACCUUGAUCAUUUAUAUCAGCAUAAAGGGGCCACAGACUACUAAUUUAGAAUGAUACUGUUUAGUCCAGUUUGAUCCCGAUGCAAACAAAUAUAUGUGAUACAGAAUAGUAGAAAAUAAAAUCUUACAAGACCUGA